GUCGCGAUGAGUACCCACACAGAUUGAUACGGUUUAUAACAGUUAAGAGUAAUGUUGGGUCUGUAGCUCAGCUGGUUAGAGCGCUCGCCUGAUAAGCGGGAGGUCGGUGGUUCAAGUCCACUCAGACCCACCAAUCUUGCCAAAAGCAAGAUUCCAGCAACAUUAUUGAUGGGGCUAUAGCUCAGCUGGGAGAGCGCCUGCCUUGCACGCAGGAGGUCAGCAGUUCGAUCCUGCUUAGCUCCACCAUCUUUAAGUAUUUUCUUAAUACAGAAUAUUUAGAAAUGGUUCUUAACGAAUCACGCUCUUUAACAAUUUGGAAAGCUGACGAAUAACAACAAUCCCCUUAUCUUCGGAUAAGCGUUGUUAUUCAAAUUAAAAGUUCUCAAAUCCUAGAUGACUUGUUCAUUUAGGUACCAACACACAUUCAAGUGUUCUUGGGUUUUCACGAAAGUGAAAACAUAUUUGAGUCCGGCAAAAUCGAAGUGUUGUCUCGCUCAUAAUAAAGAGACAACGAUAACCCUUGGUUGUUUGCCAUACAGAAACCUUUUGGGG
This 552-nucleotide transfer RNA is filed under the name Vibrio penaeicida. The stretch from base 57 to 130 matches the Rfam family "tRNA". The record is from RNAcentral. Lineage: Bacteria; Pseudomonadati; Pseudomonadota; Gammaproteobacteria; Vibrionales; Vibrionaceae.